AACCUUAUGGACCUGCGGGCGUAUACCUGCGGAAGGAUCAUUACAGAGUUGCAAAACUCCCUAAACCAUUGUGAACCUACCUUCUACCGUUGCUUCGGCGGGCGGGCCUAGCGCCCCCCCGGCCCCCCGCGGGCGCCCGCCGGAGGAUAACCAAACUCUUGACAUCAGUGGCCUCUCUGAGUAUUCUUUACUGAAUAAGUCAAAACUUUCAGCAAUGGAUCUCAGAUCGGAAGAGCACAC
Molecule: unclassified non-coding RNA, 240 nt
Filed under: soil metagenome
Description: partial contains 5.8S ribosomal RNA, internal transcribed spacer 2, and large subunit ribosomal RNA
Source: RNAcentral